Molecule: ribosomal RNA, 554 nt
Filed under: Adela reaumurella
Lineage: Eukaryota; Metazoa; Arthropoda; Insecta; Lepidoptera; Adelidae
Description: eukaryotic LSU rRNA
Source: RNAcentral
GAACGGAGAGAUUCAUCGUCAUUCCGCGGCGUACGGACGCGCGCUUCGAUGUCGUCGGCCUCGGUCGGCUGGCACGACGCGUGUCCGUCGACGUCCGUGGACGGCGUGCACUUCUCUCUUAGUAAUACAUCGCGACCCGUUCGAUGUCGGUCUAAGCGCCGUGCGGGAGCCCAUUUGUCGCUUCGGCGGCGAGUGGACCGCCGCGGUUGCCGACCGGCGUACGGACGGUAUUGAAAUUGAACCGCGCACGCGUUUACGCGCGUCCGGCCCGACGCAAGCGUUGGUCGUCGUCAGAGUCCUGCCCGAGUGCGGACUAGGGCGCGGCCAGCCUGUUGUCGCUGCCGUGCAGUCUCGGACUGUGCGCGUCUCAGUCUGCGAUGAUUCAGUUUCGGGCACUCGCAGGACCCGUCUUGAAACACGGACCAAGGAGUCUAGCAUGUGUGCGAGUCAUUGAGAUUUAUAAACUGAAAGGCGUAACGAAAGUGAAGGCGUGCGCUUGUCGCGCGCUCAGGGAGGAUGGAGCGCCCGUCUAGGCGGGCCUCUCGCACUCCCGA